RNAcentral lists this ribosomal RNA (536 nucleotides) under uncultured bacterium. Its description in RNAcentral is "bacterial SSU rRNA". It matches the Rfam family "Bacterial small subunit ribosomal RNA", at positions 975 to 1509 of the family's 1533-position model. The record is from RNAcentral.
UUGGCCUUGACAUACUAAGAACUUUUCCAGAGAUGGAUUGGUGCCUUCGGGAACUUAGAUACAGGUGCUGCAUGGCUGUCGUCAGCUCGUGUCGUGAGAUGUUGGGUUAAGUCCGCAACGAGCGCAACCCUUUUUCCUUAUUUGCCAGCGGGUAAUGCCGGGAACUUUAAGGAUACUGCCAGUGACAAACUGGAGGAAGGCGGGGACGACGUCAAGUCAUCAUGGCCCUUACGGCCAGGGCUACACACGUGCUACAAUGGUCGGUACAAAGGGUUGCUACCUCGCGAGAGGAUGCUAAUCUCAAAAAGCCGAUCGUAGUCCGGAUCGCAGUCUGCAACUCGACUGCGUGAAGUCGGAAUCGCUAGUAAUCGCGGAUCAGAAUGCCGCGGUGAAUACGUUCCCGGGCCUUGUACACACCGCCCGUCACACCAUGGGAGUUUGUUGCACCAGAAGUAGGUAGUCUAACCGCAAGGAGGACGCUUACCACGGUGUGGCCGAUGACUGGGGUGAAGUCGUAACAAGGUAGGCGUAGAUGA